CAGCGUCACGAGUGGCAAUCAUUUUUAUUUGGCCUAAAGCGUCCGUAGCCGGUUUUGUAAAUCUUUUGUGAAAUUGUUGGGCUCAACUCAACAACGUGCAGAAGACACUGCAAGACUAGGAACCGGGAGGAGUCAGAGGUAUUCUAGGGGGAGCGGUAAAAUGUUGUAAUCCUUAGAAGACCACCUGUGGCGAAGGCGUCUGACCAGAACGGAUUCGACGGUGAGGAACGAAAGCUAGGGGAGCGAUCCGGAUUAGAUACCCGAGUAGUCC
RNAcentral lists this ribosomal RNA (271 nucleotides) under uncultured archaeon. Its description in RNAcentral is "partial 16S ribosomal RNA". It matches the Rfam family "Archaeal small subunit ribosomal RNA", at positions 477 to 747 of the family's 1478-position model. The record is from RNAcentral.